AUUGAACGCUGGCGGCAGGCUUAACACAUGCAAGUCGAGCGGGGGAAGGUAGCUUGCUACCGGACCUAGCGGCGGACGGGUGAGUAAUGCUUGGGAAUCUGCCUAUUAGUGGGGGACAACAUCUCGAAAGGGAUGCUAAUACCGCAUACGUCCUACGGGAGAAAGCAGGGGAUCUUCGGACCUUGCGCUAAUAGAUGAGCCUAAGUCGGAUUAGCUAGUUGGUGGGGUAAAGGCCUACCAAGGCGACGAUCUGUAGCGGGUCUGAGAGGAUGAUCCGCCACACUGGGACUGAGACACGGCCCAGACUCCUACGGGAGGCAGCAGUGGGGAAUAUUGGACAAUGGGGGGAACCCUGAUCCAGCCAUGCCGCGUGUGUGAAGAAGGCCUUAUGGUUGUAAAGCACUUUAAGCGAGGAGGAGGCUACUUUAGUUAAUACCUAGAGAUAGCGGACGUUACUCGCAGAAUAAGCACCGGCUAACUCUGUGCCAGCCGCCGCAGUAA
This 501-nucleotide ribosomal RNA is filed under the name uncultured bacterium. Its description in RNAcentral is "partial 16S ribosomal RNA". It matches the Rfam family "Bacterial small subunit ribosomal RNA", at positions 30 to 523 of the family's 1533-position model. The record is from RNAcentral.